Molecule: long non-coding RNA, 6413 nt
Filed under: Aquilegia coerulea
Lineage: Eukaryota; Viridiplantae; Streptophyta; Magnoliopsida; Ranunculales; Ranunculaceae
Description: long non-coding RNA (ACOE_LNC001815)
Source: RNAcentral
UUUCGAAAACAUCGAAUAAAUCAUAAAAAAAAUAUGAUAUUAAUAACCAAUCUUACAAUAAUAUCUAUCAAAUAACCAAACUAAUAAAAUAAAUGCUACCUAAACUAAAAUUUCAACAAAAAUAAAAAAAAAAAAUCUGCAUUUAGACAUUCUCAAUUUUUGGACGGAGACUCUCUGAAUCACCACCUAUGAAUAUUGUUUUCUAAAUAGGGUCCUUCAUUAUGAAAACAUAAGCCUUCCUCAAAUAAGGCUUAGUGAAACCUUCAACUGCCAUUACUUGUUCACGAACGUAUUCAGCACGUGCUGCUGGAUCAAUAGACUUUCAAAGAUUGAUCAUUUUAUUAGUCAUCUCAUGGACCAAUUCAGGCACUACAUCCAUUGGUCGUGUUUUCUUUCCAUGUUGCCUUUUCUUUGAGGUUGAGGUUGAGGUCGACGCCUUUCUUUUUCCAGCUUCAUUUGUGUCUUCAAUGUCAUCUAGAUGAAUUGUUUCAUUAGUAGGCAAGUCAGACAUACCAUCUAUCUUAUUCAGAUCAAUAGAAUCCAGGCCUCCAAAUGAAUUACAUCCUGUUUCAUUAGCAGACAAGUCAGGCAUACCAUCAAUUAUAUGUAAGUCAUAUGAUAGAAGUCACUACUGGAACCUGAUGCAGGAACUAGAUCUUGGAACACAAACAAACUCAUACCAAUAUUAAGAAGAACACUUCUUUUUCAUUAAUCAUUAAAAACCAAGUCCUUUACAUCUAACAAGAGGCCUUUAUAUAGGCUACAGUUUCCAAAUCCUAAUCAAACCCUAAUACUGUAUAAAGGACGCAACUAACCUCCAACCCUAAUAUAAGACGAAAACUACUAAAAAUAGAAAGAUUUGAGUUAUGAUCAAAUCUGGACUCUACUCAUCUCUAGAAAUCCAACGCCACAAACGGCAUGUAAAACGGAGUUCUCUAGAAAGAGAUAUAAACAAAACAAAACUUUCUUAAAAUAGUAAAAUUGGCUUUUUGAAGGCCUAAACGAUAUCAGAACCCCGUUUUCCUUCAGAAAAAGGGGUCCUGAUGCAACUUUGGUAAACUGGACAAAAUCUCAACUUGCCCGCGGGCGAGCCUCGAGCAACUUCUGGUGGCGGGCAGUCGAGCUACGCUCCCAUUUCUCUUCAAACAUAUCAACUAACUCCUGUAUGCCAUCAGAUAGAGGUGGCAAUCAUACCUGACGACCCGAAACCCGACCUGAACCUGACCUGAACUGGGUCAGGUUUGGGUUUGAAUAUUUGAGGUUUUGGGGCUGAUCAGGUCGACCCGAUUGACCUGAUAUGUAAUCAGGUUAGGUUCAGGUUUCCCUUCCAGACCUGUCGGGUCGACCCGAAACCUGACCAAAAUAAACCUAAAUACCUAAUUCUUCUAUCCAUUUUUUAAUCUCUCGAAACUAAAACCUCAAAACAUUCUCUGCGGUGUUUUCUAAAUGGAUGAGGAAGAAGAAGAGGUUUCAGCAACUUGGAUUCGAUCUACCUUAUUCUUCAACUGCUCAUUCAUCAUCAGUUGUCAUCGAAUCGCCCUCCACAAGAAAUCCGAACACUUUCUUUCGCUCUUUUUCUUCAAACCUUAAAGGGAUUCAUAAAGAGAAUUACCAUUUUUUUCAGUCAACAAUAUAAAUGUAAACUUUUGAGUUGAUCUUGCUUUUUUAUGUUUUUUUUUUCCUAUUUUCAAUUUGAUCUUAUUACUAUAGAUUUCAAUUGCACUUAAAACACCCAUUUUCUUAGUAACAACUGAUUGAUUAGUGAGCUGUUUUAGUGAGUAGUGGAAAUUUUAUGUAAGUUUGUUUCAAAAAUACUGAACUCUCAUUUUUUGUAUGAUGUAUUUGUUGUACAAAGAUAAGAAAUUGGAUGAGCAAUCUUGUGUUUUUCAAUUUGUAAAACAUUAAAUGGAUUGCAAUUUUACACUAUUUCAUUACCAUACAUUCUAAGUGUAGAAACAGGGUACACUGCCCAGAUUUUGGUACUCUGUAAAUAGAGUUGCCAACUGCUUGUAGGGGAACAACUAUCAAUAUAUUACUGCUGAGUGACACAUUAAGUACUCUUUAAUAGCCUUUGACAGUUUUCAGUGUUCUGUAGACUUGUUUUUUCACAACUCAUGUGGAAGAACAGAAAAAAUGACUCUAAUUAUCGUUCAAUGUUGAGUUCUUAUUGAACAAUAUACUUUUUGCCUUGUAACUUAUAAGAAAACAAAUAAAGGGUGAAUCUGUUAGUAAGGACAUUUCUUAUUUCAAACUAAGUGUCGUAUAUGCAUAUUAGCUACUGAUUUGUGUAUCGUGUGUUAAGCAUCUGUGAUAAGCAAUGGAUUCAAGGUAGUCACAUUUUGUAUUAUCAUUGAAUUGUUAGUCCUCGUGUUUUCAUUUUAUUUUGAUUUGAAAGAUCAUACUUAGAUACACUACAUCUGGACAAGAGAUGAAUGGUUGUCUUUAAUUUUUUGCAUACGUCUUAAAUUACAUUAGACUAUUGAGUAAGAAACUAUAGUGCCAACUGCCAAGGCUUUAUAUAGUCUAUCUCAUGUUAAGCAAGUGUCGAGCUUGGUAACUAGGUUUUGAGUAUGUUUGGUCUUGAAACAACACAAUGACUUAUGCCCUAAUUGUUUUACUGUGUAGUUAAUGUUUAAAGUAUUUUCUCGUUCUCAUUCUCAUUUUAAUGCAAUUAUAUGAUCCUAUGUAUUUUCCAGAUUUACAAAUCAUGCUCCCUCAAUGCAGUUUUAUCUAAUUGUGUUUGGCGUUGGGGUAUUGGCAUAUUGCACAACAAACGGGUGGUCUAAGGUAAUGCCUAUCGUUGCAAAGGAAAGUCAAGGUGGAACGGUCGAGACAAGAGAAAGAAAAACAAUAAUGUGUUGGACUACUGGCAAAUAGUUUCGUGGAAGGAAAGCAUGGAAAUGAUCUAGACUAUGGAGUCAGUUUUGAUGCUAAUUACAUAUAGGACUAUGGAGUUAGUUUCAAUUUUCAAAGAAAAUUCUUGUUGUGGCAGUAGACCAGUACUCUUGUUUCUUAAGACACUCAAGUUGUUCUAUUGUUUAAUAUAUUAUAAGUUGUAGAAUGGAUUUUUUUUGUUCACAAAUUUGAAAGAAGCUACUGAAAAUUAUGUAUUAACUAGAUUAAAUUUUGCAAGUACGUACAAAUGUAUCAGGUUUUCAGGUCGACCUGAACUUGACCGAUAACCUGACAGGUCAGGUUCAGGUUUCCAUUUUGAGCGAAAAACAAGUCAUCGGGUCAGGUUCAGGUUUUGGGUUUGAGACCUGACAACCCGUCUGACCUGACCCGAACCUGACCUGACUCGACCUGAUUGCCAGCCCUACCAUCAGAACCAUAUCACAUGGAUAAUCUAUGUAAGAGUUUCAAUGACAUGUGUUAAUAUUUUCAAAUAAAAAAUCACUUCAUUGAAUAAAAACUGGAUAUAGGAGCAAUAUUCAUGCAAUUUCCACCAAAACCUUAAAAUGGGUUCAAGUUUUUUGCUGACCAGGCUUUGUAAUUCUCUUAUAGUACUGGUGAGAAUAUAUUUUAACUUUGAUAAACAUAAAUAAUAAAAACACAAAUCUAAAAAAACUAAAGAAAAAACUAAACAAACAUUUUCAUAACUCAUUAGGAAACCAGACAUGCUAUGUUUUUUUUGUAUGUGCAUACAAUAUACUGUUCAGGAAUGUUUAUUUCGGAGAGAUGACUAAUCAAAUUUUACUUUUAUAGAAAAAAUAAAAUAAAAAUUCAAACUCACAAGAUCAGAUAGGAGUUCAUCCCAUUUUGCAUCUGGAGCAUCAAUUGUUUAUUUAAUUGGGUCCCACCCAAAUCCACUUCUCGACUUCAAAUCCAUGAAAGAGUUGAAUUCACUUCGCAUUGUGCGCACCGGACUAACUAUAUGAUUUUUUUCAAUAUGUUCAUGGCACUUAGUAAGUACAGCUGAUUUGAUUGAGACAUAAACUGACUCCUCCCAUACUUGACCUUGUUUCUUUCCUAGUUGGAAUGCAUCAAUUGGUAUCAAUGAGGACAUUAUCCAUUGCACGAGUCCAGUUAAUUUGCUUUCUUUUCAUGUCCAUCUUUUGUUCAAAAUCAUUCAGGUCUGGUUUCUUUCCUUUGUCCAUUCUUUGUCCCAGGUUAUUAAAAUCCAUGGCUACGAUGAAAUGCAAUGGAUUAGCAAGAAAGAAAAAGAAAACACUAAAUAAAUAAAUAAAUAAGCAAUAAAAUAAAUUCAUAUCUAAUGAAAAACAUAACAACGUAAUCAUACCAUUACAAAAAAAAAACAAUCUACCUAAACACUUGCAAUCUGAAGAAUUAAUACUAAACUAAAUCAAUCACUCAUUUGGAAUAAACAUCACCUUUCCUAAAAAUCGUUAUGUACAUAUCUUCUUCGUCUAUAAUCAGAAAACAUCUUUUUAGCCAUAGAAUCUCUAAAUUGUAGCCAACGAGCUUGCUCAGCCCUAAAUGAAUUUGAUGCUCUAUCUGAGCUGCUUGGAUGAUCAUCAUCGUCAAGGGCUGGGUUUUGAUCUUCUUCAUUCAUUUCAACGAUAAACGGAUCUUCACUUGGAUCAACACCCAUUAUGUGGUUAUGGAUCACGAAGCACGCCAUUGCUAUCUUUGUUUGUGUUUUGAAUGAAUAAUGUGAGUCAGUGGAUAGCAUUGGAAAACGUUUUUCAAUACCCCAAAAGCCCUCUCAAUUGUAGUUCGAAGUGUUGAAUGUCGAUUAUUAUACAGUUCUUUAUCAUUUUUUGGAGGUCGAUCAGAACUAUAUUCAUUUAAAUGAUAUCUUGUAAGACGACAUGGAGUUAAGAUUCCAGGCUCGCAACAGUAUCCCAUGUCAGCCAAACAGUAUUUACCUAAAAAAUUAAAUUCAUUAUUAAUAUUAAUUUGUUAUAAAUUAAAUUAUCAUUGCACUAUACCAUCAACUAAAAUUUGGAUAUAUACCUUGGGGAAUACGAAAUGGAUUAGGUCUAGUACGAGCAUCAUCUAAAACCCUUUGGUCAUGUGUUGUGCCUUCCCACCCCAUAAGAACAUAAGUAAACUUUAAAUCGAACGAACACACGGCUAAUACAUUUUGAGAAGUAAAACUUUUUCUUCCACUUCUAAAUCUUUCCACUCCAUCUCCAGGAACAGUAGCAACAAUAUGUGUCCCAUCUAGAGCUCCCAAACAAUUCUAGAAAAAUGUCUUGUAUGAUUAUGUUAUACAAGGUAGUGUAAGUGAAAAUUACAAAGAUGAGUUUUACCUUGAAGUAUUUCUCAUAUCGAAUGUCAUUAAGAAUUUGAGAUGGGGUCCCUCCAUUAUGUGUAGCUUCUCCAUGGUCAGCUAGCAUGGGUUUAAUUUCAGAAUUGCAUCAAGUGUUUCAUUAAAUUGUCAACUGAUCGGCAAGGGAUCAAUAAUACCUACUCUCAAUAACUCUAUGUCUGAGAUUAUGCCCAAUUAGAUGUAAGAACCUCAUCACCAUUUCUUCCACUUCACAGUUUCUUGUAUCCUCCAAAAGUUUUUUUUCCCCUAAUCAAAUAACAUAAGCGACGAAAAACAUCUGCUCUCAUUCGCAAAUUAGAUUUACAUUUUUGAUCUCUUUUUAAAACAGAGUCCAUGUACGUGUUCCUCUCGCUAACAUAAUUCACACAAGGUUCUUUCGGUAUCUGAUGAAAUAAAAAUUGGGUUGUAAUUGUCAUUGCCAAAUGCGCAACAUUGGCAGCCUCAACAACUACAAAUUCCUAUAUCCAUUCUUCCUCAGUGGAGUUAGCCAUACUAGUAGAAUUGAUAAUAAAAAGAUAUUGUUACAAAAUAAAUUGAUUAUUCUAUAAUUAAAAUUCAAGGUAAUAAGCUAAAAAUCUAUGUUCUACAAGCCAAUUUUCAUUCAAAACCUAAGAUAAUUUUAUCAUAGAGAUUCAAGUAUUAAGGUUAAGUUACCAAAUCAGUUCAUACUUGAAACUGUUCAUACUUGUAAUUAUAUUUCUAAUAGACAGAAUUCUGAAUAGAGAAUUGAGAAAACCUAUACCCCAAUCAAGAUUUCAAGCAAUAUUUUCAAAAUCAAGACUUGAUUUAUGACAAAGUAGCAAAAACAGUAACCAAAACCAUGAGAGAUAUACAAAAAAAAACACAAUUAAAAAAGCUUACCUUAGCAAAAUCAAGAGACAACAGAUGAAUGAGAAGCUUUAGAUUGAGAUGGAGAACUUUUAUCAAGCAAAAAAAUGUAUUCCAAUUGGAGAAGUCGAGCUCUAAGGGAGAAGACGACGAGCUCUAAGGUAGUUAUUUUCCUUAGAUUUCGUAUCCCACCUCUAAUUGCAAGUGGAUGCGAUGAAAUUUGAGCUGCAAUCAACUUGCACAUGAACUAUUUAUAGGUGGGAGUAGUAGGGAAUGGGUUGCAAUAACUAAAUUUUGCAAGGGUGCUCCCAAUCACAUAUUUAUGGGUGGUUACUAACAGUUAGAUGCA